GACGAAGGGUGCAAGCGUUACUCGGAAUUACUGGGCGUAAAGCGUGCGUAGGUGGUUUGUUAAGUCUGAUGUGAAAGCCCUGGGCUCAACCUGGGAAUUGCAUUGGAUACUGGCAGGCUAGAGUGCGGUAGAGGAUGGCGGAAUUCCCGGUGUAGCAGUGAAAUGCGUAGAGAUCGGGAGGAACAUCUGUGGCGAAGGCGGCCAUCUGGACAGUUCCUGACGCUGAGGCACGAAGGUCAGGGGAGCAAACGGG
This 253-nucleotide ribosomal RNA is filed under the name uncultured bacterium. RNAcentral describes it as "partial 16S ribosomal RNA". It matches the Rfam family "Bacterial small subunit ribosomal RNA", at positions 524 to 776 of the family's 1533-position model. The record is from RNAcentral.